UGUAAUUUGGACUUGAACGAUCUUGGUC
This 28-nucleotide non-coding RNA is filed under the name Bombyx mori (domestic silkworm). The record is from RNAcentral. Lineage: Eukaryota; Metazoa; Arthropoda; Insecta; Lepidoptera; Bombycidae.